Molecule: non-coding RNA, 84 nt
Organism: Oryza sativa Japonica Group (Japanese rice)
Lineage: Eukaryota; Viridiplantae; Streptophyta; Magnoliopsida; Poales; Poaceae
Source: Rfam
GGAUGGAUGUCUGAGCGGUUGAAAGAGUCGGUCUUGAAAACCGAAGUAUUGAUAGGAAUACCGGGGGUUCGAAUGCCCGAUCCA